This 916-nucleotide ribosomal RNA is filed under the name uncultured delta proteobacterium. RNAcentral's name for it is "bacterial SSU rRNA". It matches the Rfam family "Bacterial small subunit ribosomal RNA", at positions 28 to 916 of the family's 1533-position model. Lineage: Bacteria; Deltaproteobacteria. The record is from RNAcentral.
AAUGAACGCUGGCGGCGUGCUUAACACAUGCAAGUCGAACGAGAAAGGGAUUGCUUGCAAUCCUGAGUAGAGUGGCGCACGGGUGAGUAACACGUAGAUAAUCUACCUUCAAGCCUGGGAUAACUGUUCGAAAGGGCAGCUAAUACCGGAUAAAGUGGAUUGACACAAGUCGAUUCAUGAAAGACAGCCUAUCCAUAGGAAGCAGUCGUUUGGAGAUGAGUCUGCGGACCAUUAGCUUGUUGGUGGGGUAAUGGCCUACCAAGGCUGCGAUGGUUAGCUGGUCUGAGAGGAUGAUCAGUCACACUGGAACUGGAACACGGUCCAGACUCCUACGGGAGGCAGCAGUGAGGAAUUUUGCGCAAUGGGGGUAACCCUGACGCAGCAACGCCGCGUGAGUGAAGAAGGCCUUUGGGUCGUAAAGCUCUGUCAACUGGGAAGAAGUUACAACUGUUUAAUAGAUGGAUGUAUUGACGGUACCAGUGGAGGAAGCGCCGGCUAACUCCGUGCCAGCAGCCGCGGUAACACGGGGGGCGCAAGCGUUAUUCGGAAUUAUUGGGCGUAAAGGGCGCGUAGGCGGUCUUGUCGGUCAGGUGUGAAAGCCCGGGGCUCAACCCUGGAAGUGCACUUGAAACAGCAAGACUUGAGUACGGGAGAGGAAAGCGGAAUUCCUGGUGUAGAGGUGAAAUUCGUAGAUAUCAGGAGGAACACCGAUGGCGAAGGCAGCUUUCUGGACCGAUACUGACGCUGAGGCGCGAAGGCGUGGGUAGCGAACGGGAUUAGAUACCCCGGUAGUCCACGCAGUAAACGUUGUACACUCGGUGUGGCGGAUAUUAAAAUCUGCUGUGCCCAAGCUAACGCAUUAAGUGUACCGCCUGGGAAGUACGGUCGCAAGACUAAAACUCAAAGGAAUUGACGG